RNAcentral lists this ribosomal RNA (2896 nucleotides) under Clostridioides difficile. Its description in RNAcentral is "bacterial LSU rRNA". It matches the Rfam family "Bacterial large subunit ribosomal RNA". The record is from RNAcentral. Lineage: Bacteria; Bacillati; Bacillota; Clostridia; Peptostreptococcales; Peptostreptococcaceae.
UCAAGUUAUUAAGGGUGCAGGGCGGAUGCCUUGGCACUAGGAGCCGAUGAAGGACGUGAUAAGCUGCGAUAAGCUUCGGGGAGUUGCACGUAAACUUUGAUCCGAAGAUUUCCGAAUGAGGAAACUCACUUAGAGUAAUGUCUAAGUAUCAUUAAGUGAAUACAUAGCUUAAUGAGGGGAACUCAGGGAACUGAAACAUCUAAGUACCUGAAGGAAGAGAAAGAAAUUCGAUUCCGUAAGUAGCGGCGAGCGAACGCGGAUUAGCCCAAACCAAUAAAGUUUUCUUUAUUGGGGUUGCGGACAUAUCAUAACGAAGAGGUAUCGUAAUUGAAGAGGUUUGGAAAGACCCACCACAGAAGGUAAUAGUCCUGUAUGUUAAACGAGAAGACUUCAGAUAUGAUCCAGAGUACCACGGGACACGUGAAACCCUGUGGGAAGCAGGAGGGACCACCCUCCAAGGCUAAAUACUACCUAGUGACCGAUAGCGUAUAGUACCGUGAGGGAAAGGUGAAAAGAACCCCGGGAGGGGAGUGAAAUAGAACCUGAAACCCUGCACUUACAAGCUGUGGAAGCACAUUUCUUGUGUGACCGCGUACUUUUUGUAGAACGGGCCAACGAGUUACGUUAAGUAGCAAGGUUAAGCACUUAAGGUGCGGAGCCGUAGCGAAAGCGAGUUUUAACUGAGCGUUCAGUUACUUGACGUAGACCCGAAACCGGGCGACCUACCCAUGAGCAGGAUGAAGCGAAAGUAAAAUUUCGUGGAGGUCCGAACCCACGAGCGUUGAAAAGCUCGGGGAUGACUUGUGGGUAGCGGUGAAAUUCCAAUCGAGCCCGGAGAUAGCUGGUUCUCCCCGAAAUAGCUUUAGGGCUAGCCUCAAGGUGAGAGAUACGGAGGUAGAGCACUGAAUGUCCUAGGGGGUAUUGCACCUACCGAAGACUAUCAAACUCCGAAUGCCGUCAUCUUAUACUUGGGAGUCAGACUGUGGGUGAUAAGAUUCAUAGUCGAAAGGGCAACAGCCCAGAUCGUCAGCUAAGGUCCCUAAAUGUAAGUUAAGUGGUAAAGGAUGUGGGAUUGCACAGACAACCAGGAUGUUGGCUUAGAAGCAGCCACUCAUUCAAAGAGUGCGUAAUAGCUCACUGGUCGAGUGAUCCUGCGCCGAAGAUUUCCGGGGCUAAAACUUACUACCGAAGCUACGGCAUCAGUAAUGAUGGGUAGGGGAGCUUCCCAUACGGGUUGAAGCAUGACCGUAAGGACAUGUGGACAGUAUGGGAGUGAGAAUGUUGGCAUGAGUAGCGAGAUGUGGGUGAGAAUCCCACAGGCCGUAAACCCAAGGUUUCCAGGGGAAGGUUCGUCCGCCCUGGGUUAGUCGGGACCUAAGCUGAGGCCGAAAGGCGUAGGUGAUGGACAACAGGUUGAUAUUCCUGUACUACCGAUAACCGUUUGAGAGAAGGGAUGACACAGUAGGAUAAGCUAAGCACACUGUUGGUUAUGUGUGCCCAAGCAUUGAGGCAGUCAAAGCAGGCAAAUCCGCUUUGAUAAUGCUGGGAUGUGAUGGGGAGCGAAAUUUAGUAGCGAAGUAGCUGAUUUCACACUGUCAAGAAAAGUCUCUAUCGAGGUUAAAGGUACCCGUACCGCAAACCGACACAGGUGGGUGAGGAGAGUAUCCUAAGGCCAGCGAGAGAACUGUUGUUAAGGAACUCGGCAAAAUGACCCCGUAACUUAGGGAUAAGGGGUGCCACCAUCCGGUGGCCGCAGAGAAUAGGCCCAAGCGACUGUUUACCAAAAACAUAGGUUUCUGCUAAGUCGCAAGACGAUGUAUAGGAGCUGACGCCUGCCCGGUGCUGGAAGGUUAAGGGGAUCUGUUAGAGCAAUCGAAGCAGUGAACUUAAGCCCCAGUAAACGGCGGCCGUAACUAUAACGGUCCUAAGGUAGCGAAAUUCCUUGUCGGGUAAGUUCCGACCCGCACGAAAGGCGUAACGAUUUGGGCACUGUCUCAACAACAGACUCGGUGAAAUUGUAAUUCCGGUGAAGAUGCCGGAUACCUGCGACAGGACGGAAAGACCCCAUGGAGCUUUACUGUAGCUUGACAUUGGGUCUUGGUACUACAUGUACAGGAUAGGUGGGAGGCUUUGAAACCAGGACGCCAGUUUUGGCGGAGCCAUCCUUGGGAUACCACCCUUGUAGUACUGGGACUCUAACCAUAGGCCAUGAAUCUGGUCUUGGGACACUGUCAGGUGGGCAGUUUGACUGGGGCGGUCGCCUCCCAAAAGGUAACGGAGGCGCUCAAAGGUUCUCUCAGUACGGUCGGAAAUCGUACGUAGAGUGUAAAGGCAAAAGAGAGCUUGAUUGCAAGACAUACAGGUCGAGCAAGGAUGAAAAUCGGACUUAGUGAUCCGGUGGUUCUGCGUGGAAGGGCCAUCGCUCAACGGAUAAAAGCUACCCUGGGGAUAACAGGCUUAUCUCCCCCAAGAGUCCACAUCGACGGGGAGGUUUGGCACCUCGAUGUCGGCUCAUCACAUCCUGGGGCUGUAGUAGGUCCCAAGGGUUGGGCUGUUCGCCCAUUAAAGUGGUACGCGAGCUGGGUUCAGAACGUCGUGAGACAGUUCGGUCCCUAUCCGUCGCAGGCGUAGGAAAUUUGAGAAGACCUGUCCUUAGUACGAGAGGACCGGGAUGGACGUACCUCUGGUGUACCAGUUGUCCUGCCAAGGGCAUGGCUGGGUAGCUAUGUACGGAAUGGAUAAGCGCUGAAAGCAUCUAAGCGCGAAGCCAACUUCAAGAUAAGAUUUCCCACCGCAAGGGUAAGACCCCAGAAAGACUAUCUGGUUGAUAGGUCGAAGGUGUAAGUGCAGCAAUGUAUUUAGCUUAUCGAUACUAAUAGGUCGAGGACUUGACCAA